UUUUUCUCAAUAAACACAAAAUUCGUCAUUAUUAUGAUUUAUUUGCAACUACAAAUGACAAGGAUUCCAUAAUUAUUUAUAUUAUUUUCGCAAUCCGCCAGAAACAUUUCAUUAUUAUCUAUCACAGUACAAAGGAAUGCACAGUUAAACAAGGGAGACAACAACUAUAUUAGGCUCAAUCUAUUUGCACAACGACAAGAAAUGAAAAAAAUGACAAUGAUUUUGGUCCAAUGGGUGGGAAAAGGUAUUUGAUGAAGUUACAUGUUAUGGCAGUAGUAGGAACAAUGUAUAUAAAGUACUGUGGGGUAAGAUGGGACACUUUUAGCACAUGAUAUCCAAAUAUCUUGAUCGUGUUUUAAACAAUUAACAACGGUCUAUGGGAGUCAUGAGGAUAUGGUUUUAUAAUUCUUUAAAUGUUCUUUGUUAACUACUAAAUGGGACGACAAAAUAGAGUUAAAAGCGUCCCGUCUUCCCGCAUCCCACUAUAUAAAGGUUAGAUUUUGAAGGUAAAAUAUUUUCACAGUGAAUCAGAGAUAAGUUUGAUUACGACGAGCUUUAUUUCUUCGUCGAGAAAGAGGGUCCGAGCUCGGGGCGCGUAGAAAAA
Non-coding RNA from Ciona intestinalis (vase tunicate), 604 nucleotides. Lineage: Eukaryota; Metazoa; Chordata; Ascidiacea; Phlebobranchia; Cionidae. The record is from RefSeq and is a predicted model, not a curated record.